CCCUUAGAUGUUCUGGGCCGCACACGCGCUACACUGAAGGAGGCAGCGUGUACUCCUGGAUCGAAAGAUUUGGGUAACCCGCGAAUCUCCUUCGUGCUAGGGAUUGAGGUUUGCAAUUAUCCUUCAUGAACGAGGAAUUCCCAGUAAGUGCAAGUCAUAAGCUUGCGCUGACUACGUCCCUGCCCUUUGUACACACCGCCCGUCGCUCCUACCGAUUGGGUGCUCCGGUGAAUUGUUUGGACUGCUGUCAGUCUUUUAGGCUGUUGGCGAGAAGCUCUGUGAACCUUAGCACCUAGAGGAAGGAGAANUCGUAACA
RNAcentral lists this ribosomal RNA (316 nucleotides) under uncultured eukaryote. RNAcentral's name for it is "partial 18S ribosomal RNA". It matches the Rfam family "Eukaryotic small subunit ribosomal RNA", at positions 1470 to 1796 of the family's 1831-position model. The record is from RNAcentral.